RNAcentral lists this ribosomal RNA (495 nucleotides) under Escherichia coli. Its description in RNAcentral is "partial 23S ribosomal RNA". It matches the Rfam family "Bacterial large subunit ribosomal RNA", at positions 375 to 875 of the family's 2925-position model. Lineage: Bacteria; Pseudomonadati; Pseudomonadota; Gammaproteobacteria; Enterobacterales; Enterobacteriaceae. The record is from RNAcentral.
GUACACAAAAAUGCACAUGCUGUGAGCUCGAUGAGUAGGGCGGGACACGUGGUAUCCUGUCUGAAUAUGGGGGGACCAUCCUCCAAGGCUAAAUACUCCUGACUGACCGAUAGUGAACCAGUACCGUGAGGGAAAGGCGAAAAGAACCCCGGCGAGGGGAGUGAAAAAGAACCUGAAACCGUGUACGUACAAGCAGUGGGAGCACGCUUAGGCGUGUGACUGCGUACCUUUUGUAUAAUGGGUCAGCGACUUAUAUUCUGUAGCAAGGUUAACCGAAUAGGGGAGCCGAAGGGAAACCGAGUCUUAACUGGGCGUUAAGUUGCAGGGUAUAGACCCGAAACCCGGUGAUCUAGCCAUGGGCAGGUUGAAGGUUGGGUAACACUAACUGGAGGACCGAACCGACUAAUGUUGAAAAAUUAGCGGAUGACUUGUGGCUGGGGGUGAAAGGCCAAUCAAACCGGGAGAUAGCUGGUUCUCCCCGAAAGCUAUUUAGGU